CAUCUUGUGAGCAUCUGGGCCAAGUUCAGGGCUGGUGCUCUCGUUCAGAUAGAUUUAGCUGGUGGUGCAGAGAUCCGUGAGCUUGCUUUUACAGGACUUUAAUGAUAUAUAAAAGCAGCACGAGGUGCUCCUGACUGUGGAUUAAUUUGGAGAUGACUUUCUCUGUUGAAGAGUAGCAAGACUCUCGCGAGUUCUUAAAAAUGCACUUGUUUGGUAUGAGAAUGAAAAGCAGUGGCUGAAGAACCAAUCUUCAAUGGGCAAGCCUUCUCUGACAUCAAUAUCUGGCUUUGAGUGGCACAAAGAAAUAAAGGAAUGUGGAUUCAGACCUCACUGGGAUGCUUGGCAAUUCUAAUUCUACCCCAGACUGCAAAUGGACACACAACUGUUGUGACUUUUGUUGAAGAGGAGAAGGAUGGUGAAGGUCUCUUUAGUCAAUAAUCUCUUUGCUGAAAUUGCUUCGGGCAGCACAGAAGCUGGAUUCAGAAGCACACAGGUCUGGGGAUGCAGGCUUCGGCCAGCCUGAUGCAAGGAAAGACUGCCAUCUCGUGGUCAGCUCAAUCCUGGCACCUUGGUGAGGGACCAGGCUGCAGAAAACCAGGCUUGGGGAGGAAACGGUGCUGCAAACUGGAUUUCUGCCGGACAGUGUGGAUGCCCUUAGAAAACACCCAGAAAAGAGCUGAGUGCCCCCCAAGACUUGCCCUGAAUUCUUUCAUGUGCAAUAUCCGAAAACCCUCUCUUGGGGCCUGGAUCAGGACCCCUUUCCUAUAACAUCUUUCUGGCGACAACAAAGGGACAAUGGUGUGGAAUCCCCCUUCCCAAAUGCUACUUUUAGAUAUCACCUUUUGUCGGAACUUGGAGUUGGUAAUGACCUUCACCAUACCACCACUCUGGGACUGAGCUUCUCUCUACCCUGAUGCAAGAGACCCUAAUAGGCAGGAAUAUGACCACCCCUAUUCAGCCUGAAGAAGUUACAGAAGUUCUGAAACCCUUAGAAAUGAGGGUCUUCUUGUAAAGGGAGUGGGGAGAUAUAUCAGAGGCAUUUGAACCAGAGCAACUCCAUCUUGAGUGAGGGCUAGGAAAAUGAGGCUAGGACUUGCUGGGCUGCAUUCUCAGAAAGUCAGUCAUUCCUAGCCUCUAGAUGUUUACGGUUAAGGGAACAAAUUUAUAACAUUUACUAAACACACCCAGACUUGGGAGUGUCCAGAUAUCCCAAUAUCUGGAGAACAAAGGCAUUCCUAAUUUUGCUUUAAAGACAAUAAUAUUGAUUCUUGCAAAAUAUAGUAAUUAAGAAAAUUAAUCCUUUAUCACAAACCCUUGUAGUAAAACACAUCUCCCCAUAUAUACAAGCAUUGUACCUAAGGUGGAUGCGUUCCAUCUCUUACUUUCAGGAAUGUCCUACACUAUCUAAGGAGUAGCUGUACUUUCACCACUUUACUUUCUUAAUAAACUUGUUU
RNAcentral lists this long non-coding RNA (1454 nucleotides) under Homo sapiens (human). RNAcentral describes it as "HSALNT0265345". Lineage: Eukaryota; Metazoa; Chordata; Mammalia; Primates; Hominidae. The record is from RNAcentral.